UCCUUCCUGGUUCUUUUUCCCCCUGCAGACAUGGACAAGAAAUUCCAGCAGUACCUCUGUGAUUACAUCACCGGUGUGAUGCACUCAGCAGGGACACACAUCCGGAAGGACCGAGCUGGGCAGGUGCUGACAGGGACUCAGCUGGCUGCCAGGAUCAAGGACGUCUCUCGAUACUUGAAGACCAAACACUACGACUUCUCCUCCCCCAUGAAGAUGGCCGAGGAGUUUGCAGCAAUAAGACAGGAGUUAAACAGCAGAGCAGUAGAGGCCGCCAGGAGGGAAUAUAAACAAUUUGUGCAGGAGCUGGUGAGUGCAGGGGGGCUGCGGGUCAGGGUUAAGGGGCAUCGUCAGAGCUAGGGGAACCAGGG
Molecule: long non-coding RNA, 368 nt
Filed under: Gopherus agassizii (Agassiz's desert tortoise)
Lineage: Eukaryota; Metazoa; Chordata; Testudines; Testudinidae
Description: lncRNA (ENSGAGG00000000091.1)
Source: RNAcentral